UGCGGAAGGAUCAUUAUUGAAAUUAUAGGNGAGGGUUGUAGCUGGCCUCUCGGGGCAUGUGCACGCCCGAGCCCUUAAUCCACACACACCUGUGAACCUAUUGUAAGGGCCCUUAAAAAAGGCCUUUACGUCUUAUCAUCAACCCAUCGUAUGUCUCAUAGAAUGUAAAUAUAUGUCCUCGCCUUAAAAAGCGUUGAUAAACUUAUACAACUUUCAACAACGGAUCUCUUGGCUCUCGCAUCGAUGAAGAACGCAGCGAAAUGCGAUAAGUAAUGUGAAUUGCAGAUUUUCAGUGAAUCAUCGAAUCUUUGAACGCACCUUGCGCUCCUUGGUAUUCCGAGGAGCAUGCCUGUUUGAGUGUCAUUAAAUUCUCAACUCNGAUCGAUUUGUUUCGACUUCGGAGCUUGGAUUUGGAGCGUGCUGGCGUCGGUCGGCUCCUCUUAAAUGCAUCAGCGGAAUCUAACGUUUCGGAUGUCAGUGUGAUAAUCAUGUUGCGCUGUCUGUCUGAUCCGAAAGCCCGCUCAC
RNAcentral lists this ribosomal RNA (525 nucleotides) under Piloderma fallax. RNAcentral's name for it is "eukaryotic LSU rRNA". The stretch from base 209 to 363 matches the Rfam family "5.8S ribosomal RNA". Lineage: Eukaryota; Fungi; Basidiomycota; Agaricomycetes; Atheliales; Atheliaceae. The record is from RNAcentral.